RNAcentral lists this ribosomal RNA (252 nucleotides) under uncultured bacterium. Its description in RNAcentral is "partial 16S ribosomal RNA". It matches the Rfam family "Bacterial small subunit ribosomal RNA", at positions 524 to 776 of the family's 1533-position model. The record is from RNAcentral.
UACGUAGGUGGCGAGCGUUAUCCGGAAUGAUUGGGCGUAAAGGGUGCGUAGGCGGCCUGCUAAGUCUGGAGUGAAAGGUACCGGCUCAACCGGUACAGGCUCUGGAAACUGGCGGGCUAGAGAGCAGGAGAGGGCGGUGGAACUCCAUGUGUAGCGGUAAAAUGCGUAGAUAUAUGGAAGAACACCAGUGGCGAAGGCGGCUCUCUGGUCUGUAACUGACGCUGAGGUUCGAAAGCGUGGGUAGCAAACAGG